Molecule: ribosomal RNA, 490 nt
Filed under: uncultured bacterium
Lineage: Bacteria
Description: partial 16S ribosomal RNA
Rfam family: Bacterial small subunit ribosomal RNA
Source: RNAcentral
AUUGAACGCUGGCGGCAGGCCUAACACAUGCAAGUCGAACGGUAACAGGAAACAGCUUGCUGUUUCGCUGACGAGUGGCGGACGGGUGAGUAAUGUCUGGGAAACUGCCUGAUGGAGGGGGAUAACUACUGGAAACGGUAGCUAAUACCGCAUAACGUCGCAAGACCAAAGAGGGGGACCUUCGGGCCUCUUGCCGUCGGAUGUGCCCAGAUGGGAUUAGCUAGUAGGUGGGGUAACGGCUCACCUAGGCGACGAUCCCUAGCUGGUCUGAGAGGAUGACCAGCCACACUGGAACUGAGACACGGUCCAGACUCCUACGGGAGGCAGCAGUGGGGAAUAUUGCACAAUGGGCGCAAGCCUGAUGCAGCCAUGCCGCGUGUAUGAAGAAGGCCUUCGGGUUGUAAAGUACUUUCAGCGGGGAUGAAGGGAGUAAAGUUAAUACCUUUGCUCAUUGACGUUACCCGCAGAAGAAGCACCGGCUAACUCCGUG